CUGGCUGUGAACAUGGUGCC
This 20-nucleotide unclassified non-coding RNA is filed under the name Mus musculus (house mouse). RNAcentral's name for it is "oocyte_clustered_small_RNA10236". Lineage: Eukaryota; Metazoa; Chordata; Mammalia; Rodentia; Muridae. The record is from RNAcentral.